UCCCGGUGACAAACCGGAGGAAGGUGGGGAAGACGUCAAAUCAUCAUGCCCCUUAUGACCUGGGUUACACACGUGGUACAAUGGACGGUACAAAGAGCUGCAAGACCGCGAGGUGGAGCUAAUCUCAUAAAACCGUUCUCAGUUCGGAUUGUAGGCUGCAACUCGCCUACAUGAAGCUGGAAUCGCUAGUAAUCGCGGAUCAGCAUGCCGCGGUGAAUACGUUCCCGGGCCUUGUACACACCGCCCGUCACACCACGAGAGUUUGUAACACCCGAAGUC
This 279-nucleotide ribosomal RNA is filed under the name Bacillus anthracis (anthrax bacterium). Its description in RNAcentral is "partial 16S ribosomal RNA". It matches the Rfam family "Bacterial small subunit ribosomal RNA", at positions 1150 to 1428 of the family's 1533-position model. Lineage: Bacteria; Bacillati; Bacillota; Bacilli; Caryophanales; Bacillaceae. The record is from RNAcentral.